CCCUUAGAUGUUCUGGGCUGCACGCGCGCUACACUGAUGCGCUCAACGAGUUUUAACCUUGCCUGGAAAGGUUGGGUAAUCUUUUUAAAACGCAUCGUGAUGGGGAUAGAUUAUUGCAAUUAUUAAUCUUCAACGAGGAAUUCCUAGUAAGCGCGAGUCAUCAGCUCGUGCUGAUUACGUCCCUGCCCUUUGUACACACCGCCCGUCGCUCCUACCGAUUGAGUGAUCUGGUGAAUAAUUCGGACUGCGGCAUUGACCGGUUCCCGAUCGUUGCUGCGGAAAGUUUAGUGAACCUUAUCACUUAGAGGAAGGAGAAGCCGUAACA
This 325-nucleotide ribosomal RNA is filed under the name uncultured eukaryote. Its description in RNAcentral is "partial 18S ribosomal RNA". It matches the Rfam family "Eukaryotic small subunit ribosomal RNA", at positions 1470 to 1796 of the family's 1831-position model. The record is from RNAcentral.